Molecule: ribosomal RNA, 387 nt
Filed under: uncultured bacterium
Lineage: Bacteria
Description: bacterial SSU rRNA
Rfam family: Bacterial small subunit ribosomal RNA
Source: RNAcentral
GACGAACGCUGGCGGCGUGCUUAACACAUGCAAGUCGAGCGGUAAGGCCCUUUCGGGGGUACACGAGCGGCGAACGGGUGAGUAACACGUGGGUGACCUGCCCUCAGCUCUGGGAUAAGCCCGGGAAACUGGGUCUAAUACUGGAUAUGACUCCAUGACGCAUGUUGUGGGGUGGAAAGCCUUGUGCGGCUGGGGAUGGGCCCGCGGCCUAUCAGCUUGUUGGUGGGGGAUGGCCUACCAAGGCGACGACGGGUAGCCGGCCUGAGAGGGCGACCGGCCACACUGGGACUGAGACACGGCCCAGACUCCUACGGGAGGCAGCAGUGGGGAAUCUUGCGCAAUGGGCGAAAGCCUGACGCAGCGACGCCGCGUGAGGGAUGACGGCCU